RNAcentral lists this ribosomal RNA (200 nucleotides) under uncultured bacterium. RNAcentral describes it as "partial 16S ribosomal RNA". It matches the Rfam family "Bacterial small subunit ribosomal RNA", at positions 8 to 206 of the family's 1533-position model. The record is from RNAcentral.
AGAGUUUGAUCCUGGCUCAGGAUGAACGCUAGCGGCAGGCCUAAUACAUGCAAGUCGAGGGGCAGCAUAGUAGCAAUACUGAUGGCGACCGGCGCACGGGUGCGUAACACGUAUACAAUCUGCCUUUAACAGGGGGAUAGCCUUUCGAAAGAGAGAUUAAUACCCCAUAACACCAGAUAGGGCAUCUUAUUUGGUUGAAA